This is a long non-coding RNA of Engraulis encrasicolus (European anchovy), 459 nucleotides long. RefSeq lists it as uncharacterized. The transcript has 5 exons. The record is from RefSeq and is a predicted model, not a curated record. NCBI's taxonomy places the organism in Eukaryota, Metazoa, Chordata, Actinopteri, Clupeiformes, Engraulidae.
CGAGUUUCUAAUCGAUAUCCGACCUCACUUUUUUCUUACCGUUAGCAAGUUAGCUAACGUGUCAAACGUACCCAGCAACCAGGCAUACUGCUCCCGUAAUCAAGUUUCCUGCUGGAGUCGGGCUGUUGAUUCUUGUCUAGCCCAUGAUGACUGGUUGAAAGGACAUUACAAAAUAGGCUACGUCAAUUCACCACAAGUCAAAAUCAGAUCAACAGACAGGGACAUCGGCCUUCUCUUGGGAAUAUGCCAGAUAUGCCAUAACAAGAAAAAAAUGGUGUUUUGCCCCUGCGGUUGUGAAGAGGAUGCUGUGGAGGUGGCAGCAUGAACGUGUCACACAGACAUUGGCUAAACUACUCGGCUUCUACACUUGCCCUCAGAGUUCACAUAUGGUUAAGUGCACAGGUGGCCAGCCAGGUUCAGACUGAUACUGGUAACAAGAGGAAAACAUGCUGAUUGGUA